GGCUACAUAGUGAUAUAAACACCAGUUGCCGUACAAUCAGCGAUGUUAAGCAACGUCGAGCCUGGUCAGUAGCUAGAUGGGUGACCGCUUGGGAAUACCAGGUGC
Molecule: non-coding RNA, 105 nt
Organism: Acanthosepion pharaonis
Lineage: Eukaryota; Metazoa; Mollusca; Cephalopoda; Sepiida; Sepiidae
Source: the annotation of a GenBank genome assembly